ACAGCCAAAUAAAACCGAAGAAGAAGAAAUACGGUUUGAAUUCAGCAGCUGCUAAAUUUACGAAAAUAAACAGGCCCGAUGUAUUUGUUCGCCGGUUUGUGGUAAACUUUCCUUUAAGAUCAGAGACAUGAACUGGGACAAUGAGCUCAGCUCCAUUCUGUCAGUAGCAGAUGGCAGUGUUGCAAAAAUUAGGGAGAGACUAACAUCCCCUGGGAAACUCUCCAAAGAUGGAAA
This is a long non-coding RNA of Nematolebias whitei (Rio pearlfish), 234 nucleotides long. RefSeq lists it as uncharacterized. Lineage: Eukaryota; Metazoa; Chordata; Actinopteri; Cyprinodontiformes; Rivulidae. The record is from RefSeq and is a predicted model, not a curated record. The transcript is spliced from 3 exons.